GCGAUCAUACCAGCAUUAAUGCACUGGAUCCCAUCAGAACUCCGAAGUUAAGCGUGCUUGGGCGAGAGCAGUACUAUGAUGGGUGACCCCCUGGGAAGUCCUCAUGAUGCACCU
RNAcentral lists this ribosomal RNA (114 nucleotides) under Zingiber officinale. The record is from RNAcentral. Lineage: Eukaryota; Viridiplantae; Streptophyta; Magnoliopsida; Zingiberales; Zingiberaceae.